RNA transcript from Aedes albopictus (Asian tiger mosquito), 1590 nucleotides. RefSeq lists it as uncharacterized. The record is from RefSeq and is a predicted model, not a curated record. The transcript has 3 exons. Lineage: Eukaryota; Metazoa; Arthropoda; Insecta; Diptera; Culicidae.
UCUCAAUCACCACCCAACGUUCAAGGUGAUUAGCUACUGCUUGACUCAUAAACAUCACCAGCCCCAGCCGUCGUGCUCUAUCCAAGUUUACCCAAAGCAUAACAGUGGAGGGCAACGCCAAAACAUGGCAUUUCUUUGCUUUCAUCCCGCGGUCAUUAUCACGUACCCGGGGAAGCAUUGUAUAAAAUCAGCACUUUUGUGGCGUGCCGUUUGACUCUAUAGCACCAGGUUUGCAAGUGAAGUGGAAGAGGGCAGUUUUCUGUUGACUGAGGUAGCUCCAGUGGUCUGUAAUGAUCAUCAUGCGGGCCAUCGUAGCAACGGUUCUCCUGAUUACGGUUGUCCUAGUGUCGAUUGUUGUGAUUAACGCCAACUCGAGGCACGUUCGAAGUGAAGUGACGAUUAAUGGAAACGAUGGCGACGGAGGGGUUCAGGUGGAUGAGAUGGAACUGAAAGUGAUUACUGGUGGGUCGUAUGAAGAAGAAGACGAGAGGAUGGGUCUCAAUCCUGAGGAGGAACGAAAGACCUUACAGUUUGAGGAUUCGCUUUCGGAUAGUGUGAAAAACUCCGAGAGCAGUACGUUGAUUAACGCAAUUAGGAAGGCGGGAGUAGCAACCGACGAAGAAGCUUUGGAUGCAAGCAGUCAGGUUGAAACCAUCCAGGCUGAAUCGGAGCUACCGAUCGAGAACGAAGAGGAAGAAGAAAUUGUAGUCCUCCAUGAGAGACACAACAUCAAUCCCGUUCAGAUGUACGACGAUGUAGUUUACUCUGAAGAAGUGGUUGUAGACGCCAAGAGUACUGAAGUUUUUGAACAAGCUACGAAUCGGUCUCAUACCACUCCAGUUCCGACCACGGAGGGUGAUUACUAUGUGGAAGAUGCUCCAGCUGAAGUAAAUGUUGAGAAGCAGGAGCAGGAAGAGGAACUACAACCGGAAGAGAGAUAUCUCGAGUCCAAAACAGUGAAUGACAUCAAAGCUCGGUCUAAGGAAAAUCAGUGGAGCAGUCGGAGAACUUCACCAGCCACCGAACGGCAGACUCCGCUGGGAUACGAACCAGACAGCUACAUAGUUGUGGACGAGGACAUGUUCAACUCGAAGAAAGCUGAACUGGAAGAAACAUUCGCUGGAAAGGAUGAUUUGUCACCGGCUAGUUCGAGUAUUAGCAGCCGCCCACUAGAACGAAAACAGAGGGCUGCCGUGGGUCACCCCGACACUAUCGUACUGAAUCGGGCACCAAUAAUGCCUCAUAUUGAGGACGAGUACCGGGAGCCGGGAUGCCCCCUCAUGUUCCCGCCGCCACCGCGCUUUGACCAUUCCAUGGAACGCGGCCGAGCCCGUCCGAGAUACCACACAGGGAUGGCCUCGAUCUACAACCCGCACAACUGGGAUGCGCACAACAUGAACCUGUUACGUUUCCCGCAAUGUACGGCCUGCCAGCGGAAACAUGCUCCCCUGUGUCGUACCUGCGGAAGAUGCAGCGACUGUUGUUUACAGAGUGGAUGCACCUGUGGCUGUUUACACUCUUGAUGGGGGAGAGCUGUUUCCUCUAUUUUAUAUGUACGUUUCAAAUAUAAGUUGUAGGAUUGUUGACUUA